AUUGAACGAUGGCGGCAGGCCUAACACAUGCAAGUAGAGCGGAGCGGCGGACGGGUGAGUAAUGCCUAGGAAUAUGACUGGUAGUGGGGGAUAACGUACGGAAACGGGCGCUAAUACCGCAUAAUAUCAGAUGAGCCUAGGUAGGAUUGGCUAGUUGGGGGGGUAAAGGCCUACCAAGGCGAAGAACCGUAACUGGUCUGAGCGGAUGAUCAGGCACUCUGGAACGUAGACACGGUCCAGACUCCUACGGGAGGCAGCAGUGGGCAAUAUUGGACAAUGGGCGAAAGCCUGAUCCAGCCAUGCCGCGUGUGUGAAGAAGGCCUUCGGAUUGUAAAGCACUUUAAGUUGGGAGGCGUUACCAACAGAAUAAGCACCGGCUAACUUCGUGCCAGCAGCCGCGGUAAUUC
Molecule: ribosomal RNA, 407 nt
Filed under: uncultured bacterium
Lineage: Bacteria
Description: partial 16S ribosomal RNA
Rfam family: Bacterial small subunit ribosomal RNA
Source: RNAcentral